This is a long non-coding RNA of Cornus florida, 558 nucleotides long. RefSeq lists it as uncharacterized. Lineage: Eukaryota; Viridiplantae; Streptophyta; Magnoliopsida; Cornales; Cornaceae. The record is from RefSeq and is a predicted model, not a curated record. The transcript has 2 exons.
AUGAAGAUAAGGAGGCAGCAUGGUGUGGUAGCCGAGAAAAGGAAGAUAAUGUGGUGGCGGGUCCACUAGAAAUUUUGAUCAUUGUAUUAAUUUUUGAGUUGGGAUAUUUGGUGAAUUGUUUGCUUUGUCGGUGUAAUGCCUAUAUAUUGAGUGUCUUGUGUGCUAACUAAGCAUACAAAAAUUGAAGAGAAAAAUUAAAGGAAAAACAGAGUGAGCCGAGAUUUUAUUUGAGUAGAGAGGGAGAGAGUUACAGAGAAGGAAAUUGAGGAAACACACCCACACAACCAUGAUACGCAGAGGGCCGGAUUUGGUGAUGUUUAUGAUCCAGUGAUAAUAUAAUUCUUUUACAGGGUACCGAGGAUGCUUAAGGAUUUUUAGCUGUGGGCUUAGGUGGAAGAGUUGGUGUUGAGGGAUUAAUUUAUUUUAUUUAGAGAUUUUUGUGCAUUUAUUUGAGGAAAUUGAUUUAGUAUCAAUUUAAUUAAUUUGAGAUGUUGUCUUAUUUAUUUGAGGAAAUUUGAUUGAUUUUGUAUCAAUAAAUGGGUAUUUUAUUUCUUUUGA